GAGACCUAAGCCUGAAAAUCAGCUGCGACACACGGAGUUUUUGUUGAAGAAAGACGGAAAGAGCGACAUUUGUUCUUGGGCAGACUUACCAAUACUUGAUGAAAUUAAUUCUAGUUUUGAGGAAGUAGUGAAAAACUAAACGGCGAAGAUAGAGAUGAGUUGUUCCGUUCAUAAAGUCAAUCAAGUCGAAGCUAAGAUCGAAAAGCUGAAAAUUAAAGACGAAAAAAUUGAGGCAAACGGAAGCUGAAAUUCUACAACUAUAGGAGAAAAAGAUCAAGAUCAAAAUGCCUUGCGAGAGUCACUUGGUUAAUGGUGUUGUGUUCUUAUGAUGUUGUAACAUGUAGAUUGCAAAAUGGGCGUCUUAUACCCCGAAAUAUAAGCAAUUUGCCAUAACUAACUGUACACUUUUCUACUGUAAUGGAUGGUAUAAAUGAAUGAAUAAUACUUCAAAGUUUUAUUACUCAC
Lycium ferocissimum is the source of this 465-nucleotide long non-coding RNA. RefSeq lists it as uncharacterized. The transcript has 2 exons. The record is from RefSeq and is a predicted model, not a curated record. Lineage: Eukaryota; Viridiplantae; Streptophyta; Magnoliopsida; Solanales; Solanaceae.